This 319-nucleotide ribosomal RNA is filed under the name uncultured eukaryote. RNAcentral's name for it is "partial 18S ribosomal RNA". It matches the Rfam family "Eukaryotic small subunit ribosomal RNA", at positions 1470 to 1796 of the family's 1831-position model. The record is from RNAcentral.
CCCUUAGAUGUUCUGGGCAGCACGCGCGCUACAAUGGUCUUCGCAAACGGAUGCAUUCUCGAAGGAGAAUGCCAAUCUUGGAAUCUAUGCCUUGGUCGGGACAGUUGCUUGCAAUUUUUCGACUCGAACCAGGAAUUCCUUGUAAUCGUGAUUCAUCACAUCACGAUGAAUACGUCCCUGCCCUUUGUACACACCGCCCGUCGCUCCUACCGAUCGAAGAGUUAGGUGAAUUGUUUUGAUCGAUAAGAUUAGACUAUGGUCAACUCUCGUUGUGAAAUUCUGUGAAUCUGACUGUUUAGAGGAAGGAAAAGUCGUAACA